AGAGUUUGAUCCUGGCUCAAGACGAACGCUGGCGGCGUGCUUAACACAUGCAAGUCGAACGGAAUCCAUGGUGUAGCAAUACACCGGAAGAUUUAGUGGCGAACGGGUGAGGAUCACGUGAGAAACCUGCCCCAGACUUUGGGAUAACAAUUGGAAACGAUUGCUAAUACCGAAUGACGUCGGAGAACCGCAUGGUUCACUGACGAAAGGAAAUCCGGUUUGGGAGGGUCUCGCGGCCUAUCAGCUUGUUGGUGGGGUAAUGGCCUACCAAGGCAACGACGGGUAGCUGGUCUGAGAGGACGAUCAGCCACACUGGGACUGAGACACGGCCCAGACUCCUACGGGAGGCAGCAGUGGGGAAUCUUGCGCAAUGGGCGAAAGCCUGACGCAGCAACGCCGCGUGCGGGAUGAAGGCCUUCGGGCUGUAAACCGCUUUCAGCAGGAACGAAAAUGACGGUACCUGCAGAAGAAGGAGCGGCCAACUACGUGCCAGCAGCCGCGGUGACACGUAGGCUCCAGCGUUGUCCGGAUUUAUUGGGCGUAAAGAGCUCGU
This 553-nucleotide ribosomal RNA is filed under the name uncultured Actinomycetes bacterium. RNAcentral's name for it is "bacterial SSU rRNA". It matches the Rfam family "Bacterial small subunit ribosomal RNA", at positions 8 to 572 of the family's 1533-position model. Lineage: Bacteria; Bacillati; Actinomycetota; Actinomycetes. The record is from RNAcentral.